CGUUAGGGGUGCUGUAAGUAGAAAGAUAUUCAGAUAUUUAGUUGUUCAGAUAUUCAGAAAUCUGAAAGUCUCAAAAUCUUUCCGAGUUACGGCUGAGAUUAAACCCUUGACCUGAUCCGGAUAAUACCGGCGGAGGAAAAUGAUUAAGA
This 149-nucleotide non-coding RNA is filed under the name human gut metagenome. The record is from RNAcentral.